GAUAAAAUAUAUUUAUCGCAUGAUAGAUAUAUCAAAGCGUUAGCGGUACAGGAUGGACCCGCGUCUGAUUAGCUAGUUGGUAAGGUAAAGGCUUACCAAGGCGACGAUCAGUAGCCGACCUGAGAGGGUGAUCGGCCACAUUGGAACUGAGACACGGUCCAAACUCCUACGGGAGGCAGCAGUGGGGAAUACUGCACAAUGGGCGAAAGCCUGAUGCAGCAACGCCGCGUGAGCGAAGAAGGCCUUCGGGUCGUAAAGCUCUGUCCCCAAGGAAGAUAAUGACGGUACUUGAGGAGGAAGCCCCGGCUAACUACGUGCCAGCAGCCGCGGUAAUACGUAGGGGGCAAGCGUUAUCCGGAUUUACUGGGCGUAAAGGGUGCGUAGGCGGUCUUACAAGUCAGGAGUGAAAGGCUACGGCUCAACCGUAGUAAGCUCUUGAAACUGUUAGACUUGAGUGCAGGAGAGGAGAGUGGAAUUCCUAGUGUAGCGGUGAAAUGCGUAGAUAUUAGGAGGAACACCAGUUGCGAAGGCGGCUCUCUGGACUGUAACUGACGCUGAGGCACGAAAGCGUGGGGAGCAAACAGGAUUAGGUACCCUGGUAGUCCACGCCGUAAACGAUGAGUACUAGCUGUCGGAGGUUACCCCCUUCGGUGGCGCAGCUAACGCAUUAAGUACUCCGCCUGGGAAGUACGCUCGCAAGAGUGAAACUCAAAGGAAUUGACGGGGACCCGCACAAGUAGCGGAGCAUGUGGUUUAAUUCGAAGCAACGCGAAGAACCUUACCUAAGCUUGACAUCCUGCUGACCCUUCCCUAAUCGGAAGUUUCCCUUCGGGGACAGCAGAGACAGGUGGUGCAUGGUUGUCGU
This 865-nucleotide ribosomal RNA is filed under the name uncultured bacterium. RNAcentral describes it as "bacterial SSU rRNA". It matches the Rfam family "Bacterial small subunit ribosomal RNA", at positions 172 to 1055 of the family's 1533-position model. The record is from RNAcentral.